This 4634-nucleotide long non-coding RNA is filed under the name Lynx pardinus (Iberian lynx). The record is from RNAcentral. Lineage: Eukaryota; Metazoa; Chordata; Mammalia; Carnivora; Felidae.
GAAGGCAUGAAGGUGAAGAAUAGUGGAACUGGAAAGUAAGAAUAGUUCUAGCAGGAAUUCACUUAUAAUAACCAUGAACAAGACUAUCAUCCAAAGGACUUCCGUCUUAGGAUGCACUGAUAAUGUACUCUAGACUGUCACCUCCUCUUGCUUACAGAAUAACCCAGAGUUUUCCAGGGACGGAUAAUCUUGCUUCACAAAGGCUGUUUAUCUAUUACACACACACAUUUAGGGAAAUAUAUGUAUAUAGCUUUAUCUAUACACACACAUAUACAUACGUGUAUAUAUAGAUUUAUACAAAUGUAUAAAUAAACAUAAUACUUUUCAAUCUUUCCAUUAACAAGGCAAGUUCACAUUCAGCAAAGUGCCACCACAUCCCAUAUACACAUCUCUGUACAGAUAUACACAAAAGGGUCUAUUUUUACCCUUCAAUCAGGGGGAAUUUAUUCUAGCAAAUCCCAUUAACCAGUAACUGAAGGGAGGAGUGGCACCGAAACCAACCCCCUUCUUUCAUUUGCAUGCAUAUGUACAAGAAAUAUGCAGAUUUUUUUUUUUUUAAUCCAUAAAGCAAGAGUGAAUGAAACUGGGAGAUGCAGAAAUACAACUAUAAAAGGAACGACAUGUAAAGCUCUCCUAGGUCUUGACUAUACCUAAGAUGAAUGAGGCUUCAAAGAGAACUACAAAUUCAGGUGUAGUAUCAGGAGUUGUUUUGACAUAUUUCAAAGUACAUGAUUUUUUUUUAAUAUUAAAUAUAAAUGUGAUUGGAGCACUUAAUAACAACUCUAGUUUGGGCUAUCUGAGACCAUCAGAUACUCCAGUAAUUAAUGUAUGGCAAAAUGACAAAACUCAAACUAUAGGAAUGUAUCUUUUUUAAAUUCCCUAUGAAUCAGGUAAAAGUCAAGGGUAGCAUAAUUUUUCCUGUAACCAAAAUACGGGGGCUGGGGGCACACUCACUUCAUAAGUAAGAGCACAAAUGAGUAAAAAAAAAAAAAAAAAAAAUUUUGAUUUUUGGAGAUAACUAAAAUCAUCCCAGCUUUGAAAUAUGCAUGGUGAAAUGAUCCCACCAACUCUUUCAACAAAGCAGUCCCUUCAAAAAAUGGCAUUCUUUAAAAAGAGCCUAUACUUUCCUUAACUUUACCAAGAAAAGAUGUUCAAGAUUUUCUAACUUAGAAUAUGAAGAGAUCUAUUAUUAACAUAAAGAAAGGUUCAACGGAUCUGGUCCCAUCACCCCAGUAGAUAAACACAGCUCACGUCUGGGUUUGCAUCUCUCUCUCUCUCUUUCUCUCUCUAAUUUUUAUGCUCAAAGGUGAGAGGCUGGUCUUAGAACCUGCUGUUUCUCACGUCAUUUUAAAAACAUAGCGUAAUAUAUAAGUUAAUCAAAAGUUAAAAGAAAAUGCACAUGAUAUCAGAGAUAGCCUUUUAACAUAAGAUAGCAUAAUGAAGAAUUUGGUGUAUUUAUACUACGGAGACAAUGAGAAAAUAACUCUGAUAGCCCCCUCUAAAUAGUCAUAUUUCUACAAUACAUUCUGUUACCUUCCUCUAUUUUCAUCUAAGCACACAUUCACCUCUCCCACACACGUGCCCCCCCAAUGUAUAUUUUUGCAUGUGUGUAAAAACACAGACAGAGACAUGCACACGAGUAAUUUAAUUCUAUUUUUAAGUCACAGUGGGAAUUCCUUAGUGAGGAGGGAUAAAAAGUUCCUGAAUAAGACACUGAGAACAUCUAGACUUAUUAUUUUCUCUAUUUUACUUCCCAACUUACAGAAUAAACUGUAAAUUAAAGAAUAAAUCCAUAGGAAAUAAAGGAGGUCUUAAAAACUUAAGUUUACAAAUUCCAGCUACAGUAGUUGGGAGCUUUGCUUGAUCUAUGUAUUUCUAUUUACCCUGUAACUAAGCUUCUAGCCAUCUGAAGUGUAAACCACAGAUCAGUUACUAAAGAAACACGACGCCCAACAGUUCUAUGAGCAGUAAUAAAUGGUCUAAAGGUGUUCUACGUUUUGAGGCCCCAGGAUAUCCUUUUAUUUUAUAUAUCUGCAAGGUAGCAAAGGAUAGCUAUACACCUUGACACGGCAGAGAUCCAGUGUAAAAAGGUGCUUCACUAGUUUGUUUUGUCAAAAAAAAAAAAAAAAAAAAGCUCAUAUAUAAUUUUUUAAGCUAUUAAAACACAUAGGCAACAUAAUUCAUUACACUCAAUACAGCUUUAGUAUAAAACUUAUAAUUUAUGAGGUGAUGUUAAUAGUAUAAAUUAAUAUACCUUUUCUCUUAAAAUCUACAAUAAGUAUUCUGAAAGCUCAUCGGGGAAGGAAAUUUUUAAAUAAAACUUUUAAAGCUGUGCGUGGUGGGAAAGGACUGUUUGCUGAAGCGGAGGAGAGCCUGAAGGAGAAAAGGAAGAGUCCUACGCAAGACACGGCGGGCUAUGAAACCAAAUGUUUUCUUUCUUGCGCUCUCUUCAAUGGUGAGUCACCUUUAGUUUCUUUUAAAACUAUUUUCUUAUUUUAAAAACUGCCCUAAUUUCCACAAGGAAUCCCUGAGACAUACUCAACACUGUACAGCGAAAAGAACGAUCACUGUGCCGAGGAACUGAUUCCAACCCUUCUGAGCAGAUGAAGACAAUGUUCCAAGCACCAGAUUUCCUGUCACUUCCACGCUAAUCUGCUGGAGCCCACUGGGCCCGAACCAGGCAGGGUGGAGUCCUUUCAGGGCAAAUCAGUCUAGUCCCCGAGCAAAAGCAAUGGUGUGGCGUCUAGCUGCACUGGAACCUUCAGCACUGCAUACUGACAUUUUUUCCAAGGGGAACUUUGGGUGCAUCUAGAGCUUACUUCAGUGGUCCCCAGCUUAAACACACAAGUAAGAACAAACGAAAAGUCAAGAGGCAGCUUCUAGUACUCUCAGGCCACGAUCAGGACAGAUCAGGCUGUACGUGUGCAUACUUGAGAACUGGGGGCAGGCGGAGGCAGGCAGGCAGGAGGGAAGAGGGGAGGAAAGCUGGGCUGCCCUACAGAGCUUACCAAGAGUUAGAAAGCUUUUCUCUUGCAACAUUCUUUUUCAGACUCAACUUUAGAUCACCAAAAAACUCCGCCACUCAAAGUAGUCAGACAUUCCCAAGACUUGGGAACCUAGUUUAUGGUCAAGAAAGUCACACCAAAUUUGCUCUCUCUCCGAAAUGCCACGUGUCCUUUAUUGGCUCUGUUGAUCACAGUGCAGAGAGGGGAAAGCUGACAGAAAUCAGAGGUGAAGGGAACGAGAAUUUUUGCUAUUGAGAAAUGAGGCUAAGUCGGCCCCGCAAUUUUUGCAUUAAUGACACUGGCUACUAGGAGACAGAAUUAUUCACUUGUGUUUUAGGUUUUCUUUCCUAACUCACUAGUCAGGGGGAAAUGCUUAACAGAUACCCAAAUAUGUUCUUCACUGGUAUUUUAUGUCAAAUUUUUUGAAAGAUAGCAUUUAAAAUGUUACUUUAAUCUACUAAACAUGGAUUCUUGUUCCCUCCAGGGUAUGAUAUUGGAACACUUAUAAGGCUCAAGAUAUUAAGAAGUCAUUAAACUGUUUUACCUUUCUAUAGAAUGCCAGUGAAGAUUCCGUAUUUUCAAUGUAUUGCGAGAGGGGGAAAAAAAUCGAUGUUCUAUCACAUGUAUACUUCUACCUCCCACCUCACCAAGAAAUGUAUUUCUCAUCGGGAAAAAAAAUGCUUGGAGUGAUGUAGGUGUUAGUGAUGGUUUAAAAGAUACAGAUGAAGACUGUUCAGUAUGACUACAUUUUCUUUUAAGGAAUCCUUUAAACUGCCUCAUUCAACUGCAGAGUUCUGCUGACCAUUUAGAAGACCACUGGAUCAGAUUAUUCCACAUAAAACAGAUUAAAAACACAACUUAGUAGAAUGUUAAAAGGCUAAAAAGAAAGAGGUUGAAGAACCUGAAAACUAGCUACCUAAAAAAAAAUUUUUCAAAUGCAGUCGAAACUGAUUAAAUAAUUAGUUUAGUGUUAUCAAUAUCUUCAUCUUUUUGCAAUACCAGUCCACAACAACCUACUGAACUAACUCGGAGAAAAGGCGACCGCCUCAAACACUGCUGAUGCAGCCCCAGAACCCCUCGCAAGGGGGCAGGAAGGACGACAAACGUAAGGGCGCAAGUUACAACGAACUGAAUGGAAGGGGGUGUGCUUGGUUGGCUCAGUCGGUAGAAUAUGCGACUUGUGUUCUCAGGGUUGUGAGUUCGAGCCCCAUGUUGGGUGUGGAGCCUACUUAAAACACAAAAAACUGAAUGGUAUAUUGGUCAACAGAAACAGAAAUUCUUUCACCUAAGAAGAAAGGUUACAGAUCGGGCACGUAUCACAGACACCGUUUCCUUCCAAAUCAAAGCACUCUCUUUGCCUCUGGGUUGCGAUGGUGGCCUGAGAACGAGCUCUGAUAAGGAAUAGCUUUUAGUGUUAGUCACAGAAAGUGAGGAGGCUUAGCUCGCAGUUGAGACAUUGGGCUUAUCGAAGAAAUAAAUGGGCUUAUUGAAGAAAUAAAUCUUAUAAAUAAUUAUUUGGCAAAGAUAAAGGAUUAGCUUUCUUUAGCCUGACACCACUCAAGACAGUAACUACAAUCUUAAGGAAAAGAAAACAAAGAAACACAUCUUCCAACUUUAUCUCCAUACCUA